GACGAACGCUGGCGGCGUGCUUAACACAUGCGAGUCGAACGGAAAGGCCCUGCUUUUGUGGGGUGCUCGAGUGGCGAACGGGUGAGUAACACGUGAGUAACCUGCCCUUGACUUUGGGAUAACUUCAGGAAACUGGGGCUAAUACCGGAUAGGAGCUCCUGCUGCAUGGUGGGGGUUGGAAAGUUUCGGCGGUUGGGGAUGGACUCGCGGCUUAUCAGCUUGUUGGUGGGGUAGUGGCUUACCAAGGCUUUGACGGGUAGCCGGCCUGAGAGGGUGACCGGCCACAUUGGGACUGAGAUACGGCCCAGACUCCUACGGGAGGCAGCAGUGGGGAAUAUUGCACAAUGGGCGGAAGCCUGAUGCAGCAACGCCGCGUGGGGGAUGACGGCCUUCGGGUUGUAAACCGCUUUCGCCUGUGGCGAAGCGUGAGUGGCGGUAAUGGGUAAAGAAGCACCGGCUAAAUACGUU
This 468-nucleotide ribosomal RNA is filed under the name uncultured bacterium. RNAcentral's name for it is "partial 16S ribosomal RNA". It matches the Rfam family "Bacterial small subunit ribosomal RNA", at positions 28 to 507 of the family's 1533-position model. The record is from RNAcentral.